RNAcentral lists this ribosomal RNA (400 nucleotides) under uncultured bacterium. RNAcentral's name for it is "bacterial SSU rRNA". It matches the Rfam family "Bacterial small subunit ribosomal RNA", at positions 356 to 773 of the family's 1533-position model. The record is from RNAcentral.
GGGGAAUAUUGCACAAUGGACGAAAGUCUGAUGCAGCAACGCCGCGUGGAGGAUGACACAUUUCGGUGCGUAAACUCCUUUUAUAUAAGAAGAUAAUGACGGUAUUAUAUGAAUAAGCACCGGCUAACUCCGUGCCAGCAGCCGCGGUAAUACGGAGGGUGCAAGCGUUACUCGGAAUCACUGGGCGUAAAGAGCGUGUAGGCGGAUUGAUAAGUUUGAAGUGAAAUCCUAUAGCUUAACUAUAGAACUGCGUUGAAAACUGUUAAUCUAGAAUGUGGGAGAGGUAGAUGGAAUUUCUGGUGUAGGGGUAAAAUCCGUAGAGAUCAGAAGGAAUACCGAUUGCGAAGGCGAUCUACUGGAACAAUAUUGACGCUGAGACGCGAAAGCGUGGGGAGCAAAC